This is a long non-coding RNA of Panicum virgatum (switchgrass), 858 nucleotides long. RefSeq lists it as uncharacterized. Lineage: Eukaryota; Viridiplantae; Streptophyta; Magnoliopsida; Poales; Poaceae. The record is from RefSeq and is a predicted model, not a curated record. The transcript has 7 exons.
GAGGUUUCAAGUGUCAGAUUUUCUAAAAAUUGGAACUCAACUUCUGCAUACAAAAUGCAGCUAAUUAUAUCAGUGAGGUGAAGCUGUACCUAACUUCAUUUCUUGGUGCUGAGAUGGCUCCUAGCCUGCUAAUGAGGAUGUUAAACUCUUGGUUGAAGACAUUGGCGAGCUCAAACCAACAGUAUUCUGUGCUGUUCCACGUGUUCUGGACAGGAAUUAUGGAGCUGGGGCCUCUGAGCUGCACAGAGAAGGGCUUUUACCCGUUGAUCGAUCGAUCCUGGAAUGUACAUUAAGGACGGAAUAAUCUAAGCUUUGCCUUUGCACCAUCUCUCUAUGUGCACAAGCAAGACAAAGCUUUAGGAGAAGAUCAAGUUAGAACAACUCGUGCAGUGUUACCUUACAGAGGUGAUGUUUAUAUGUAUUCCCCCAUUAGUCGUCUUGGUUCAUGAUGGUUGGAUUGGCUGCUUGUUCAGACAGAGGUAAUGCUGAUAUUUCACACACAAAUAUAUGGUGGCCUUGGUAUGAGUUAUUCUAAUGAUUAAGCUCAUAUUGCCUCAAGCAUAGGAAUUUGUUGGUUUAAUCUACCACUUGAUACUCUUUGACUACUUUUUGAAUGGCAAAAUUCAGUGCCUUCAGAUAUGCCACUAUGAGUAUCUUAUUGGGUGCUCGAGCUGGAUUGUCCAUUGUUCUCCCUUAUUGGUUAAGCCAACCACGUACAAAUUGGCUCGUGUGCUGGCUCGAUCGAGCGAGCAAUCGGCUUAUUUGGUCUUCCGGCGUUGUAUCCCUUGAUGCUUCCAGGAAAUUGGAUACUCUGAUUUUUGAGUGAAUGAAUAGAGCCAAUCUUGACCUAAAAAAAAA